GCCAUGAUUUCAGGGUUCCCAAGCAGCCACUGCCAUUGGUUGACAACUGUCACGAAGGACAAAGUGCCGAUUUUGAAAGUGAUAAAGGCCAGGGUAAGGAAGAAAGUCGAAAAGGAAAACAGGUGUGUAGAAAAUAUUCACUUUGGAUCUAAAUCAUGGCUCUACCGUACUAGCUGUGAGAUCCUGGAAACAUUAUCAAACAUUUUUCUUCUGUGAAAUGGGAAUGGUAAUAUCUGCCUCAAGGGCUCUUGAGAGGAUUAAAUGCAAUGAUGAACUUGAA
Symphalangus syndactylus (siamang) is the source of this 280-nucleotide long non-coding RNA. RefSeq lists it as uncharacterized. The record is from RefSeq and is a predicted model, not a curated record. NCBI's taxonomy places the organism in Eukaryota, Metazoa, Chordata, Mammalia, Primates, Hylobatidae.